GAUGAACGCUAGCGGCAGGCUUAACACAUGCAAGUCGAGGGGUAACGAUGGCUUCGGCCAGUCGACGACCGGCGCACGGGUGAGUAUCGCGUUUGUAACCUACCUUUAACUGGAGAAUAGCCCGUAGAAAUGCGGAUUAAUACUCCAUAAUACUAUAGUUUGGCAUCAUUUUAUAGUUAAAGCUCCGGCGGUUAAAGAUGGGCAUGCGUAACAUUAGCUAGUUGGUGAGGUAACGGCCCACCAAGGCUACGAUGUUUAGGGGGUCUGAGAGGAUGGUCCCCCACACUGGUACUGAGACACGGACCAGACUCCUACGGGUGGCAG
This 324-nucleotide ribosomal RNA is filed under the name uncultured Bacteroidota bacterium. RNAcentral's name for it is "bacterial SSU rRNA". It matches the Rfam family "Bacterial small subunit ribosomal RNA", at positions 28 to 351 of the family's 1533-position model. Lineage: Bacteria; Pseudomonadati; Bacteroidota. The record is from RNAcentral.